AAGAUCUGUGCUUGGGAGAUCAGUCUGAUCUCUCCAUUGUAGCAUUCUUUUGUGAGUCACCAAUCAGAAUGGAAAAAGUGAAUAGAAAGAAAAAUGUUCUCUCACAAUGCUGCAAAAAGAAAAAGCCACUUACACUAAAUUCUAUAGAAUCUCUGCUGAUAUCUAAUAGCAUCCCUUGUUGAGCUAACCAGUUGAAUACAGGUAGGAUAUAGUUCCGCUAGCACAUCUCCACCAUCACCACAAUCAACAACCCCCACAAGAAAAUAACAGAAUGUAUGGAUCCUACACCUGCCUCAUGGAAAAAUCUGCUGGUGAAACUAAGCAACCUCUCUGCUUCAGAAUGAACUUUCCCAGAAAAAAACAACAGAGAGAAACAUCCAGUCCCCAGUGGGAAAACACUUUUUUAUGGAACAGCCAUUCCAUCUAAACUCACAGACCUAGUUCUCAAGGGAAUCCUACACAGUACCUUCAAAAGAUAGGCAUGGAGGGAAUCAUAAAUUUGACUGGACGCAAAAGUCGUGGGAUUAACAGACAGUGGUUUUGUAGCUCGUAAUUUACCUGCUUCCUCUGCCAAUCUCUCUGUACUCUUGCUGUAAGAACAGCUCUCUUCUAUACUGAAUAGUACUAUUAUUUUACAUAAUUAUUUUUAUCUAUCUCACCUAUUCUGUAUUUGGUAUAUAAUGGCUUCUGAUAAAUUCUCUUUGUGAGGUUUAUUGCCAACUUAAUUCUUCAAGGGAAUCCUUUUAUUUACCUAAUGAGGUCAAGCAAACUUAAUCAUUCUACCUUAUAUUUAGUAUAGGCUGUAUCUGCUUCUUUGCAAGGCCUGAGGAAGGGCACUUUUUGUCCAAAAGGUUGUUUACCAUCUCUUCCAGCUAUAUAGUUGGUCUAGAUAUUACCAACUGUAGCAGCAGAUUCAUCCCACAUUAAUUGUAUUAUGAUGGACAUAAGUCCAUCCAUAACCAAGAAUGUAAGGCAUAUAUACCCAACUUGUUGUUCAGAGAUGUAAGCCAGUGAUUUUCAACUUUUUUCAUUUGCAAACCCCUAAAAAGUUUUGAAUGGGGGCACGGACCCCUUUGGAAUCUAUUGUGUGUACAGAGAACAUUCUCUCUCUCCCCAUUCCCCCCUUCUCCUGUUCCAGUUUGUAGAUUGAUAAUCGCCAAGCGAGUAGAGGGGCCACAGGGCUGCAGUCCUAUGUGAAGUAGUGGCAGUAGCAGGAUGAGAUAGGGCUGUCCAGCUGAGCUCUGUCUGGUGGCUCUGGGCUGCCUGCUGCUGGCGUGUUGGUGGCCUCUGGCCACAGAGGGAGCUGGAGCAGCAGCAGCACUGAUGGCACUUUUCUUUGGGGUGGCGCCACCAUUUUUACAGCCACCUUUCAUGAAUAUUCUAGACGUGGUCCACAGAACCUCCACGGGUCUGUGGACCACAGAUUGAGAAACACUGACAUAGGCAAACAACCCUGUUUCAUUGAAUCCUCUGUGUGUUCCAGGAUGCACAUUUUACCAUUCAGUGUAUUGUAUUACAGUGAGAUUCAGCAAAUAGAUUGUUCCUUGACAAAUGUGCUUGUCUUUGUGUCUUGAGUUUUUAAUAAGCUUGGAUAUUUAAAUUAAAUAAUCAAUAUGGGGGACAAAAAAAAACAGCUGAGCCUGCUGCUCUUAUGCUUAUACUCAACUGUUUGCAUAAAUUUGCCAGGAUAGGAAAGAAUGUAAUCACAACCUGUUUUGAUAAGUUGCAGUUCUCUCUCCACCAUCCAAAAAGGAAAAACAGAUAGUCUUUCAUGAAAUGUGUUUCUUCCUACAUGCAUAGAAACUUGAAUAUCUUAUUACAAAUGCUGAAUUUGGUAUGAUGAAGUCAACCCCCACAAUUUCUGGUGGAUUCUGCUUAUAAUUGUUUCCAAAACCUACUAUGCAUAUGUCUAUAAUUUUUCAUUAUAUUUUAAUUACCAAAAUGCUUCUCAAGGAUAUACAGCAGUUCUAAUAUGUGUGACCUCAUUUCUUGUUUUUUCCCCCUUUCCCAUUCUGGCUUCUCUGUGCAAAAGUAUUUUGUUUUCAUACACUCUGGCAUAGCACAUGCUAACACUUAAACAGUUUUACGAUAUAAAUGAGAAGGAAAAACAGCAGUGUCGCAUACUGUGGGUGGUUCAUUUUCUUAAUUUACUAUUGAAAACAUAUGUGAACAUUUUGUAUAAAUAGAAAACAAUUGAAAAAUGCCAUAAUGUUACCAGCAGUUUAUAAAAUUCUGUAAUAAAGCUAUCUUUUCUGCA
Molecule: long non-coding RNA, 2257 nt
Organism: Gavialis gangeticus (Gharial)
Lineage: Eukaryota; Metazoa; Chordata; Crocodylia; Gavialidae
Exons: 2
Source: RefSeq, a predicted model, not a curated record